ACAGAGUGGGAAUAAAAUGCAGGUAUCACUUGAAGUGAAAAGCUUGAUUUGACAGCAUUUCAGACGAAGUGAAACGGGUUGAAAUAGGUAGAAUUUACUUGGUUUCCUGCCAAAAUCCUGCCACAAAAAGAGCCAUAUACUCAUAGCAGAUUGCUU
This 156-nucleotide small RNA is filed under the name Lacticaseibacillus manihotivorans DSM 13343 = JCM 12514. Its description in RNAcentral is "Lactobacillus manihotivorans DSM 13343 = JCM 12514 Listeria sRNA rli38". It matches the Rfam family "Listeria sRNA rli38". Lineage: Bacteria; Bacillati; Bacillota; Bacilli; Lactobacillales; Lactobacillaceae. The record is from Rfam by way of RNAcentral.